GACGAACGCUGGCGGCGUGCUUAACACAUGCAAGUCGAACGGAAAGGCCCUGCUUUUGUGGGGUGCUCGAGUGGCGAACGGGUGAGUAACACGUGAGUAACCUGCCCUUGACUUUGGGAUAACUUCAGGAAACUGGGGCUAAUACCGGAUAGGAGCUCCUGCUGCAUGGUGGGGGUUGGAAAGUUUCGGCGGUUGGGGAUGGACUCGCGGCUUAUCAGCUUGUUGGUGGGGUAGUGGCUUACCAAGGCUUUGACGGGUAGCCGGCCUGAGAGGGUGACCGGCCACAUUGGGACUGCGAUACGGCCCAGACUGCUAUGGGAGGCAGCAGUGGGGAAUAUUGCACAAUGGGAGGAAGCCUGAUGCAGCAACGCCGCGUGCGGGAUGACGUCCUGCUGGUUGUAAACCGCUUUCGCCUGUGACGAAGCGUGAGUGACGGUAAUGGGUAAAGAAGCACCGGCUAACUACGUG
Molecule: ribosomal RNA, 468 nt
Filed under: uncultured bacterium
Lineage: Bacteria
Description: partial 16S ribosomal RNA
Rfam family: Bacterial small subunit ribosomal RNA
Source: RNAcentral